UCAGUUUGGACUCAUUCGAAUAAAAUUCCCUGCUGUUGGUGUCCCCCCCCUCCAAAAUACCACACAGAGACCAAGGACAUUGGCCUCCUGUAAGGUGAAGGAUAAAGAUACCAGGAGAACUGGGCCCUUUAAAAUUCACCCAGAAGUUGCAGGAUGCCCAAGCCAUAUGGAUCUGCAGUUUCCUGUGCCUCCAGAAAAAUCAAUGUGAGAUGCUGUGAGCCUGAGGAGUUAUAUCCUAGAAAGCUGUGAAGAAGAGUAAGGCCAAGCUGCACCAAACACACCUCUGUACCACAUGACUCAUGUCUUCAGAUGUCUGGCCUUCAGGAAGCCAGGAAUGCUGAGCUCACCAAGCCCUGCACACUGCUGUGAACUCCAGACCUCUGCAAACCUAUCUGUAAAGUGACUUGCCAACUCAAAUGCUGAUUAAAUAGCAACAGUGGCCAUUAAUGAACAAUGUAACCCUCAGUAUAUCUGCACACUUUUGAACGAACAAUGUGCAACUGCAACAGCCACAGAUUCGUCCUCCCAUGUGUCCCAAACUGUUUGGGAGGAUGUUUCUUGCCAUCAGACUCAACAAUGCCACAGCACCCAGGACUUCCCACCUCCACUGACUGAGACGAUCACUCACAGUUUAAUUGUCACCAUCAGAUACCAUCAUAAGCAUUGUACAUGUGUAUACACACAUAUCUAUUGUAUCUAUUAUUCCUGUUUUCUAUAGGUGUUUAUGGAAAUUUCUUUGAUGUUGUGUACAUUCACCUGUACUGUGAUGUUGGGAUGCUGAUGUUUUGAAGUAGGUGUUCAGUCCAUAAAUAAUGUUUCAUGAGUGCAUUUAAAGUCUGUAUUGGUAUCUGAAUUACAUGUUUGCUCCCGUGUUGGAUAUCAAGUAAAAUCAUUGCUUUUUUCCUAAUUUUGUUGGUUGUUUUGUUUUUCCAUCAUCAUGCUGUUUUAGACA
Molecule: long non-coding RNA, 952 nt
Organism: Lates calcarifer (barramundi perch)
Lineage: Eukaryota; Metazoa; Chordata; Actinopteri; Centropomidae
Exons: 4
Source: RefSeq, a predicted model, not a curated record